AGCUUUGCACAGUGAUAGGAUCAUAGCCAAUGAGGCACACUUAGUGCUAACUGAAAACUUUUCCUAAUACCCUGGCAUUGGCAAUUUUUGAUAGUCUCUGUGGAGA
Molecule: small nuclear RNA, 106 nt
Filed under: Cercocebus atys (sooty mangabey)
Lineage: Eukaryota; Metazoa; Chordata; Mammalia; Primates; Cercopithecidae
Description: U4 spliceosomal RNA (ENSCATG00000005131.1)
Rfam family: U4 spliceosomal RNA
About the family: U4 small nuclear RNA (U4 snRNA) is a component of the major U2-dependent spliceosome. The structure of U4 snRNA from yeast and human has been reported.
Source: Rfam by way of RNAcentral